RNAcentral lists this ribosomal RNA (543 nucleotides) under uncultured archaeon. RNAcentral describes it as "bacterial SSU rRNA". It matches the Rfam family "Archaeal small subunit ribosomal RNA", at positions 457 to 997 of the family's 1478-position model. The record is from RNAcentral.
GUCAGCAGCCGCGGUAACACCGGCGGCCCGAGUGGUGAUCGUGAUUAUUGGGUCUAAAGGGUCCGUAGCCGGUUUGGUCAGUCCUCCGGGAAAUCUGAUAGCUCAACUAUUAGGCUUUCGGGGGAUACUGCCAGACUUGGAACCGGGAGAGGUAAGAGGUACUACAGGGGUAGGAGUGAAAUCUUGUAAUCCCUGUGGGACCACCUGUGGCGAAGGCGUCUUACCAGAACGGGUUCGACGGUGAGGGACGAAAGCUGGGGGCACGAACCGGAUUAGAUACCCGGGUAGUCCCAGCCGUAAACGAUGCUCGCUAGGUGUCCAGGCAUGGCGCGACCGUGUCUGGUGCCGCAGGGAAGCCGUGAAGCGAGCCACCUGGGAAGUACGGCCGCAAGGCUGAAACUUAAAGGAAUUGGCGGGGGAGCACAACAACGGGUGGAAGCCUGCGGUUUAAUUGGACUCAACGCCGGACAACUCACCGGGGGCGACAGCAAUAUGUAGGCCAAGCUGAAGACUUUGCCUGAAUCGCUGAGGAGUGGUGCAUGG